This 440-nucleotide ribosomal RNA is filed under the name uncultured bacterium. Its description in RNAcentral is "partial 16S ribosomal RNA". It matches the Rfam family "Bacterial small subunit ribosomal RNA", at positions 338 to 795 of the family's 1533-position model. The record is from RNAcentral.
CCUACGGGUGGCAGCAGUGGGGAAUAUUGCACAAUGGGGGGAACCCUGAUGCAGCAAUGCCGCGUGGGUGAAGAAGCACUCCGGUGCGUAAAGCCCUGUCAGCAGGGAAGAAAAUGACAGUACCUGGACAAGAAGCCCCGGCUAACUACGUGCCAGCAGCCGCGGGAAUACGUAGGGGGCAAGCGUUAUCCGGAUUUACUGGGUGUAAAGGGAGCGCAGGCGGCGUGGCAAGUCAGAUGUGAAAACCCGGGGCCCAACCCCGGGAGUGCAUUUGAAACUGCCAUGCUGGAGUGCCGGAGAGGGAAGCGGAAUUCCUAGUGGAGCGGUGAAAUGCGUAGAUAUUAGGAGGAAUACCGUUAGCGAAGGCGGCAAUCUGGCUGGAAACUGACGCUGAGGUGCGAAAGCGUGGGUAGCAAACAGGAUUAGAUACCCUAGUAGUC